This 225-nucleotide long non-coding RNA is filed under the name Helianthus annuus (common sunflower). Its description in RNAcentral is "hypothetical non coding rna". The record is from RNAcentral. Lineage: Eukaryota; Viridiplantae; Streptophyta; Magnoliopsida; Asterales; Asteraceae.
UGUUCUGGUCGUGACAAUCACAGGAGCCAAGGGAGGGUUCCUUACUCAAACCCUAACAAGCACAAAUCAACAAAUUGGAAGGGCGAAUCAGUCCCAAAUCGAAAUCCAAGCCCGUAUUCAUGAACACCAAGUUGAAAGGAUCACAAGUUUGACGCGUCACAAGCUAGGUGGAAGCUUGGAGUGAAAGCAGGUCAAACAAGUCAAGCAUGGAAGAAAAGCGUAGCU